GAUGAACGCUGGCGGCGUGCCUAAUACAUGCAAGUCGAGCGAACGGACGAGAAGCUUGCUUCUCUGAUGUUAGCGGCGGACGGGUGAGUAACACGUGGAUAACCUACCUAUAAGACUGGGAUAACUUCGGGAAACCGGAGCUAAUACCGGAUAAUAUUUUGAACCGCAUGGUUCAAAAGUGAAAGACGGUCUUGCUGUCACUUAUAGAUGAAUCCGCGCUGCAUUAGCUAGUUGGUAAGGUAACGGCUUACCAAGGCAACGAUGCAUAGCCGACCUGAGAGGGGGAUCGGCCACACUGGAACUGAGACACGGUCAAGACUCCUACGGGAGGCAGCAGUAGGGAAUCUUCCGCAAUGGGCGAAAGCCUGACGGAGCAACGCCGCGUGAGUGAUGAAGGUCUUCGGAUCUUAAAACUCUGUUAAUAGGGAAGAACAUAUGUGUAAGUAACUGUGCACAUCUUGACGGUACCUAAUCAGAAAGCCACGGCUAACUACGUG
This 497-nucleotide ribosomal RNA is filed under the name uncultured bacterium. Its description in RNAcentral is "partial 16S ribosomal RNA". It matches the Rfam family "Bacterial small subunit ribosomal RNA", at positions 28 to 507 of the family's 1533-position model. The record is from RNAcentral.